UCGCCCUUAUGCUCAGUAACACGUGGAUAACCUGCCCUUAGGUCUGGCAUAACCCCGGGAAACUGGGGAUAAUUCCGGAUAGAUCAUGGAUGCUGGAAUGCACCGUGGUCGAAAGCUUUUGUGCCUAAGGAUGGGUCUGCGGUCUAUCAGGUUGUAGUGGGUGUAACGUACCUACUAGCCUACGACGGAUACGGGUUGUGGGAGCAAGAGCCCGGAGAUGGAUUCUGAGACAUGAAUCCAGGCCCUACGGGGCGCAGCAGGCGCGAAAACUUUACAAUGCGGGAAACCGCGAUAAGGGGACACCGAGUGCCAGCAUCCUAUGUUGGCUGUCCAUAUGUAUAAAUAACAUGUGUUAGCAAGGGCCGGGCAAGACCGGUGCCAGCCGCCGCGGUAACACCGGCGGCCCGAGUGGUGGCCACUAUUAUUGGGUCUAAAGGGUCCGUAGCCGGUUUGGUCAGUCUUCCGGGAAAUCUGACGGCUUAACCGUUAGGCUUUCGGGGGAUACUGCCAGGCUUGGGACCGGGAGAGGUAAGAGGUACUACGGGGGUAGGAGUGAAAUCUUGUAAUCCCUGUGGGACCACCAGUGGCGAAGGCGUCUUACCAGAACGGGUCCGACGGUGAGGGACGAAAGCUG
RNAcentral lists this ribosomal RNA (634 nucleotides) under uncultured archaeon. RNAcentral describes it as "bacterial SSU rRNA". It matches the Rfam family "Archaeal small subunit ribosomal RNA", at positions 78 to 713 of the family's 1478-position model. The record is from RNAcentral.